Hordeum vulgare subsp. vulgare (domesticated barley) is the source of this 852-nucleotide long non-coding RNA. RefSeq lists it as uncharacterized. NCBI's taxonomy places the organism in Eukaryota, Viridiplantae, Streptophyta, Magnoliopsida, Poales, Poaceae. The transcript is spliced from 2 exons. The record is from RefSeq and is a predicted model, not a curated record.
ACCCCAAGAUCUUCCGGCUGCACAAGGCGAAUUACUUGCUCAUCUGUUAAUUCUUCUGAAUAUGCAGCAGGAUUUUCUCAAACUUAGAGCAUAAUUUUGCAGCAAGAUAUAUCUCAGAUAGCCACUGUGCAAUCAGCUCAACAGUGUAAAUUUAGAGCUAGAUUUUGUCAAACUGAAUCUUGCUCAACAGAUUUAGUUAUGUUGCUAAAAUUUUAGUAUUUUAUACUUCUCUGAAUACAAAAGACCUAUUCGGCAACUCUUCGCCCUGCACCUUGGCUCGUGAAGCGGCCGGAGCGGAGCAGACUAUAGCCUAUUUUCUUGGAGUCGCGGAAGUGGUGCACCGUUCGCUCCCCUAUUUUACGGAGCUGGAUGGUUGCCCAACAGGCUCAAAGUGUACUUCUUAUUGCAAGGAAAUUUAAAACUCAUUUCACAAAGUGCAUAGGAGCAGCAACAGUAGGGGCACGGGAGAAGGACAGAAGAUAGCAGAGCUCUAACGGUGGAAGCUCGAGGAGAAGCAGCAGCCGGAGCACAAGGAGAAGGUGUAGUCGGAGCUCGAGGAGAGGUAGAAGUGGGAGCUCGAGGACACAUAGGAGAGCAGUUUUUGGCGGUGGCAUAGGUUUGGCCGGAGGUGGCACAGCAGGUCUGAGGAACGGCGGGAGAGCACUUCUAGGCGGCAGGAGAGGGCCGCAGUGGCAUAGGUCUGGGCGAUGGCACCGAAGCUGUUCUGGGCGGCGGCAGACCGGGUCAUGAGGAAUCGUGGCUAUAGCUAGACGUGACUGACCGGCGCCGGCCCUGGCAAUGUGUAACUCAUCCUAUCUUUAUUUUGGCACGAGGGUCUCGACAGGGAUAGAA